Long non-coding RNA from Gasterosteus aculeatus aculeatus (three-spined stickleback), 4145 nucleotides. Lineage: Eukaryota; Metazoa; Chordata; Actinopteri; Perciformes; Gasterosteidae. The record is from Ensembl.
CGACACCCUCACAAGUAGAUGUGCACACGGACACACUAACAUGUAGUUGUGCACACAAAGACAAACUAACAUGUAUAUGUACACAAAGACACACUAACUUGCCGAUGUACACACGGACACACUAACUUGCCGAUGUACACAAAGACACACUAACUUGCCGAUGUACACAAUGACACACUAACAAGUAGAUGUACACAAAGACACACUAACAUGUAGAUGUGCACAGGGACACACUAACAUGAAGAUGUACACAAAGACACACUAACUUGCCGAUGUACACAAAGACACACUAACUUGCCGAUGUACACAAAGACACACUAACUUGCCGAUGUACACAAAGACACACUAACUUGCCGAUGUACACAAAGACACACUAACUUGCCGAUGUACACAAAGACACACUAACUUGCCGAUGUAUACAAAGACACACUAACUUGCCGAUGUAUACAAAGACACACUAACUUGCCGAUGUACACACGGACACACUAACUUGUCGAUGUACACACGGACACACUAACUUGUCGAUGUACACACGGACACACUAACAUGUAUAUACGUACACAAAGACACACUAACAUGUAGAGAAACCAGUCAGAUUUCAAGGCAGGACACUCCACAGAGACUGCUCUCCUUGCUGUCUCAGAGCAACUCCACACUGCUAGAGCCGCCUCUCUCUCCUCUGUCCUCAUCCUUCUGGACCUCUCUGCUGCAUUUGACACGGUCAACCACGAGACCCUUAUUUCCUCCCUUCAGGAACUUUGUGUCACAGGUUCUGCUCUCUCCCUUCUCUCGUCCUACCUCGACGGCUGCACCUACCGGGUCCAGCUUUCAUCCAGGAUAUGGUCAAACCCUACAUCCCAAACCGCAUUCUCCGCUCUGCAUCUGCAAAACUACUCGUUCCUCCCUCACUGAGAGAAAAAAACACUCAACUAGAUCUCGACUCUUUGCUGUCCUUGUCCGGAGUGUGGGUGGAGGAGGGACUCUGACGCAGACUUCUCAGAAAACAAAAAGUCUUUAAUAGUUAAAAGGCAAAAUCAAAAGGCCAAGGGGCAAAAACAGCAGGCAUGAAACUAUGAACAUCCACGACGAUAGACAAUGACGCGACAAGUGACACACUGCUUAAAUACACAAGGGAGGUGCAGGUGAUUGGACACAGGUGGAAACUAUUAGACGAUCACAGGGGAUGACGGGACAAGGCAGGAAGUGAAGUUACCCGGGGACACGAGUGGCAGAAAACUACAAAAUACAACAGGAAGUGAACCACACCGUGACAGUCCUUGCGCCGAAAUGGUGAAAUGCGCUCUCUAAAGACAUCAGGACCACAGAGAGCCCUCGCAUCUUCCGCCGCAAACUAAAGACACACCUCUUCAGACUCUACCUCGACUAAAGACUAACAAAUUGUAGCACUUAAAUUGUACUUGUAACAUCACUCAUCUAUAGCAAAAUGUAAAUUGGCUUAUUUGAUGAAAUUGCACUUUCUUGUUUCUUGUUCUCCUGAGUUUGUACCCUAUGGUUGAAUGCACUUAUUGUACGUCGCUUUGGAUAAAAGCGUCCGCUAAAUGACAUGUAAUGUAAUGUAAUGUAGAUGUACACAAAGACACACUAACAACAUUAACAUCUUAAUAACUUUGUCUUCUUAUCUUUCUUCUCAGGAACUCCAAUUAUUGUGUUAUUAUUGUCAUUAUUGCUAUUUUUAAUAAUGUUAUUAUUAUAAUUGUUAUUAUUAUUAAACGUUUCAUCUGAACAAUAAAAAUGAAACCAAAUGAAUCCGUCUACUUUUCCUCAGAGCAAAGAGAAUCACAUGUUCUUUAUUAGUUGUUGACGUGAAUAAAGUGAAACAACAAUGAUGUUAAGUUAAUGAGCGUUUGUGUAUUUAAUGACACACAAAGGUUUGAGUCGAUUUCAAUCGAUAACUCACUUCCUCCUGUAAUCAGACAUCUCGUCUCAGAAUAACAGCGGAAGAAGAGAAUAUUUAAAGUAGAUGAACAGGUUUCCUAUAUGGAACAUUUGGAUUAAAACAUGAAUGUUGCUAAAAAAUGGAAGUCAGGCAACUCAAAGCACAAACAAAUUAAAUUCUCUACAAAUAAAACUAAUUCAAACCCAGAGUUCAACUAAUGUACUCGCUCCAAUGUUAAUGUAACUUGAUCUCAACCAUCUCUAGUCACUAAAAUCAGCCAACGAAUCAGAGGGUUCGUUCUGGAUGAAUCAUUGAACCUGUAACACAUCUUUGUUAUUAUGCUGUAAUAGUGUAACGAUCAGGCUGCAGGCAGAAGCACCACCCAAACGCAGAGUUUUGAAAACAAAAGGUAGUUUUAAUGAAUCCAAAAUAUCCAAAAUCAAAAAACACAAGGAGGGAAAAAACCCAGACAUAAAGACAUGGAACUCACAGGCAAGAUGAGGACAGACGAGCGAUGAGAGGACCGUCCAAGAAAGCGCUUUUAUUUCGCUAUUUGGAGGUGUAUGCAGGAAGUCUUAUUCUGAAAGGACACAAUUGGGUUUCCCGAAAUGCGGAUGUAUUGUUGGUGAUAUUGGCGACUUUUUAACCAAUAGUGUGUGAAUCACAUUUUUUUUUUGCCUGUGCAAUUAUUGAGACUGAUCGGACUCGAAAAUAGUAAAAACGCUAAUACAUUAAUAGAGGUGUUUCAAUCAGCACACUGUAGUUUCAUGGUGUAAACUAGUUCCAACGACAAUGUCGUACUAAUCCUGUGUAUGUGGCCCACCUGCGAUUUGGGAGCGUUUUUCUCAUCAUGAAUGAAAUUCAGGCACGUGCACAGACAUUUUGGGGGGCAGGUGCUCAAACCAAAAUAAAAGGGCACAGAUUGCCCAAAUUAUUUAUGAAAUUAAAAUAAUAUUAAUAAAUAAAUAAAAAUCACAAUAUUUUCAACCUGUUAAAACUAACUCAAUGUAUCUAACUGAAUAAAUACAUGUAUAACAGGCAACAACUGACAAAACAAGGCCAUAUUGGACCUAAGCAAUAAGGUACUUGAGCAGAGGCAGUACUUUAUCGUUAUAUACACAUCGUUAUAUUUUACACUCAUAAAGUACCCCAAUAUACCUCACCAGACUGCCAUGUAGCUCAACUUAAGACUUAAAUUAAGCAAAACUAGUGAACCAGUGAACUUGUCUAAUUUGUAAAAUGAAUGAAAAGUAUCUGCCUGCCUGUAUCUCUUCUCUCUCUCUCUUCAUUGAACGUCAGUAAACAGCUGGAUAAGGCUUUGAAAUCACGGAUUUUCAAGUUUUUUGUUUGUUUAUUUUUUUGGAAACGUCGGACCAGUUGCGAUUAAUGUUUUCAUAAUGUUUUUUGGAGGUUUGCACAAACACCUUCAUCACCUGUGUGUCGAAUGCUGCAGCCGCUUGGCGCUCAGCGCUGCACGAGCACCAAGGAGGAGGAGGAGGAGGAGGAGGACAAACCGUGUAGCUGUGUACAAAAAGGGAAACCAUCAUUGGUUGUGUUUGAGGGAACUGUCACACAUUGACAUACCAUGAAUGGAUGGUAUCUUCUCCUUUGGUGUCAUGGUACGGUCACCUCUCGUUAAAGCACAGGAACACUCUGGUCCAGCAGGCUGAUUGGUGAGUCCAUAACACAUCUGGCUCCAUUGUAAAACCUUUGCACAAUGGAUUUCAGCUCGAGUCCAGACGGACGUAUAUGGUCCCGUGGUGCAGAACAAAGCGCUGAAAGAACUCAAGUGAAUAGCAACAGAGCAGAGGAUGUUUUCAGGACUGCUACUGACAGUCUGGAUGAGUUCACAGAGGCUGUAACUUACUACAUCGGCUUCUGUGAGGACAGCUGUGUACCAUCAUGCACCAGGGUGAGUUUCAACAACGACAAACCCUGGUUCACAGCGGAGCUCAGAACACUACGUCUGCAGAAGGAUCAGGCAUUUAGGAGCGGAGACAAAGACUUGUACACAGAGGCAAAAUACAAGUUUAGCAAGGCGGUGAGAGACGCUAAACGACUGUACUCUGUGAAACUCCAACAACAGUUCUCAGCAAGUGACUCUGCUUCGGUCUGGAGAGGCCUCAAACACCUCACCAACUACAAGCCAAAAACCCCCCACUCCAUGAAUGACCUCCGCCUGGCAGACAAGCUCAAUGAGUUCUACUGCAGAUUUGAAAGACAAUGUCCUGAUCCCAUCCCCCACAGC